Pseudopipra pipra is the source of this 1158-nucleotide long non-coding RNA. RefSeq lists it as uncharacterized. The record is from RefSeq and is a predicted model, not a curated record. The transcript is spliced from 3 exons. NCBI's taxonomy places the organism in Eukaryota, Metazoa, Chordata, Aves, Passeriformes, Pipridae.
UUGAGGAAUGAAAACAUAAUAAAAUGUUGGAAUAUUUGCUAAACCUUAUGCUGAUGUUCUGAGCAUGCUUAGAGUCAGUGAAGUAUUUUAUGAGAACCUGAGUGGUGUGUUCUAGAAGCUAAUUAAACUUCUUUGUCUAUAGACUAUGUGUUUUCAAACAAAACUUCUUGGUGAAUUUUUGAUAAAUAUUAGAUCGUGUGAGAAAUUAUAGUGAAUAAAAAUAUACAUCACAGGAAAUAACAUCAGUCUAAGCAACAAUUUAAUAUUUAUUUUCUUCUUGCCAGUGAAUACAGAAGAAAUCACAACAGUUCAAGUAAAGACAUUUACCUGAUGAAGGUACAUCUGAUAUUGAAAGGAUUUUGACAGUGCUAUUGUCUGCAUAGCAGACAGGUGUAUUUGUAUUUAUAAAGCUACAGAAAAAUUCCUCCACUGGGAAUCAACUGGACCUAAGCCCUUUUCACGUGCUGGAAGUUAUGGCCAGUAACCAUCAGUAACACUCACUCCGCUGUAGGGAGGAGCUGCACGGCUGGACCCUGCUGCUGUUUCCCUCUUGCAGCUCAGAGCAGCCAAACAGUAUCCAGCCAGGAGAGAUGCCAUAAAGAUAUGCAGGUUUGGCCCUCUGCCAUACAUGAAAGAGCAUCCAGGCAAAGCAGUUGUCUCCCACUCUCUGUACUUCCUCUCUUGCCCUGGGCUUACAGGAGACCGCUGUUGUUUCUGGUUUGGAGUGAUACAGAGAUGGUUUUGUGCUAGCACAGGUCUUGCAGGGUGCAGUGGGACUGAGUGUCAUAUAACCUAUGUUGUGUGUUUCCCCAAGAUUAAGAAUUUAGGCAGUUUGUUACAGCAGAACAUAUCCUCCCAGGAUAGACCUUUUUGUGAAGAGAGCACAGGUACUGGGAGCUCCUCACACUGCGGUGGUGUUAGGAAGUGUGUGCUUUCUCUACAUUGUAGAUUUUAAGAGGUUGAAUUUUCAAAACUCAUCAUGUAGCAAUUUUUUUGCUUUGUUUAAAAAAACACCAAAAAAGCUAUUGCCUUUCAUUAAUAUUCUAGUCCUGGAUAUGUGUAAACACUUUAUGGCUCUGAGUUUAAAUGAGCAGAGGAUUUGGGAAGUUCAGACACGUAGGGUUUCGAUCUUAGAAUGGGUGUGAUGAUUCAGAAAAU